Molecule: ribosomal RNA, 273 nt
Filed under: uncultured prokaryote
Description: partial 16S ribosomal RNA
Rfam family: Bacterial small subunit ribosomal RNA
Source: RNAcentral
UACGUAGGUGGCAAGCGUUAUCCGGAAUUAUUGGGCGUAAAGCGCGCGCAGGUGGUUUCUUAAGUCUGAUGUGAAAGCCCACGGCUCAACCGUGGAGGGUCAUUGGAAACUGGGAGACUUGAGUGCAGAAGAGGAAAGUGGAAUUCCAUGUGUAGCGGUGAAAUGCGUAGAGAUAUGGAGGAACACCAGUGGCGAAGGCGACUUUCUGGUCUGUAACUGACACUGAGGCGCGAAAGCGUGGGGAGCAAACAGGAUUAGAAACCCCAGUAGUCC